RNAcentral lists this ribosomal RNA (868 nucleotides) under uncultured archaeon. Its description in RNAcentral is "bacterial SSU rRNA". It matches the Rfam family "Archaeal small subunit ribosomal RNA", at positions 51 to 923 of the family's 1478-position model. The record is from RNAcentral.
AUGCUAGUUGUGCGACUUAGAUCGCAGCGGAAGCUCAGUAACACGUGGCCAAACUACCCUGUAGACAGGAAUACUCUCGGGAAACUGAGGCUAAUACCUGAUACGGUUCUCAUGCUGGAGUGCAGAGAACCUCAAACGCUCAGGCGCUACAGGAUGUGGCUGCGGCCGAUUAGGUAGACGGUGGGGUAACGGCCCACCGUGCCGAUAAUCGGUACGGGUUGUGAGAGCAAGAGCCCGGAGACGGAAUCUGAGACAAGAUUCCGGGCCCUACGGGGCGCAGCAGGCGCGAAACCUUUACACUGCACGCCAGUGCGAUAAGGGGACCCCAAGUGUGAGGGCAUAUAGCCCUCACUUUUGUGUACCGUAGGGAGGUACACGAAUAAGAGCCGGGCAAGACCGGUGCCAGCCGCCGCGGUAAUACCGGCAGCUCGAGUGAUGACCGAUUUUAUUGGGCCUAAAGCGUCCGUAGCUGGCCGUGUAGGUUCGUCGGGAAAUCCACCUGCUCAACAGGUGGGCGUCCGGCGAAAACCACGUGGCUUGGGACCGGAAGGCUCGAGGGGUACGUCCGGGGUAGGAGUGAAAUCCCGUAAUCCUGGACGGACCGCCGAUGGCGAAAGCACCUCGAGAAGACGGAUCCGACAGUGAGGGACGAAAGCUGGGGUCUCGAACCGGAUUAGAUACCCGGGUAGUCCCAGCCGUAAACAAUGCCUGUUAGGUGUGGCACCGACUACGAGUCGGUGCUGUGCCGUAGGGAAGCCGAUAAACAGGCCGCCUGGGAAGUACGUCCGCAAGGAUGAAACUUAAAGGAAUUGGCGGGGGAGCACUACAACCGGAGGAGCCUGCGGUUUAAUUGGAUUCAACGCCGGAA